Molecule: ribosomal RNA, 480 nt
Filed under: Escherichia coli
Lineage: Bacteria; Pseudomonadati; Pseudomonadota; Gammaproteobacteria; Enterobacterales; Enterobacteriaceae
Description: partial 23S ribosomal RNA
Rfam family: Bacterial large subunit ribosomal RNA
Source: RNAcentral
CGAAUGCUGACAUAAGUAACGAUAAAGCGGGUGAAAAGCCCGCUCGCCGGAAGACCAAGGGUUCCUGUCCAACGUUAAUCGGGGCAGGGUGAGUCGACCCCUAAGGCGAGGCCGAAAGGCGUAGUCGAUGGGAAACAGGUUAAUAUUCCUGUACUUGGUGUUACUGCGAAGGGGGGACGGAGAAGGCUAUGUUGGCCGGGCGACGGUUGUCCCGGUUUAAGCGUGUAGGCUGGUUUUCCAGGCAAAUCCGGAAAAUCAAGGCUGAGGCGUGAUGACGAGGCACUACGGUGCUGAAGCAACAAAUGCCCUGCUUCCAGGAAAAGCCUCUAAGCAUCAGGUAACAUCAAAUCGUACCCCAAACCGACACAGGUGGUCAGGUAGAGAAUACCAAGGCGCUUGAGAGAACUCGGGUGAAGGAACUAGGCAAAAUGGUGCCGUAACUUCGGGAGAAGGCACGCUGAUAUGUAGGUGAAGCGACUU